ACGCUGGCGGCGCGCCUAACACAUGCAAGUCGAACGAGCGAGAGAGAGCUUGCUUUCUCGAGCGAGUGGCGAACGGGUGAGUAACGCGUGAGGAACCUGCCUCAAAGAGGGGGACAACAGUUGGAAACGACUGCUAAUACCGCAUAAGCGCACAGCAUCGCAUGAUGCAGUGUGAAAAACUCCGGUGGUACAGGAUGGACCCGCGUCUGAUUAGCUAGUUGGUGAGGUAACGGCUUACCAAGGCAACGAUCAGUAGCCGACUUGAGAGAGUGAUCGGCCACAUUGGGACUGAGACACGGCCCAAACUCCUACGGGAGGCAGCAGUGGGGAAUAUUGCACAAUGGGGGAAACCCUGAUGCAGCGACGCCGCGUGAAGGAAGAAGUAUUUCGGUAUGUAAACUUCUAUCAGCAAGGAAGAAAAUGACGGUACUUGACUAAGAAGCCCCGGCUAAAUACGUG
RNAcentral lists this ribosomal RNA (459 nucleotides) under uncultured bacterium. RNAcentral's name for it is "bacterial SSU rRNA". It matches the Rfam family "Bacterial small subunit ribosomal RNA", at positions 33 to 507 of the family's 1533-position model. The record is from RNAcentral.